GGAUGCGAUCAUACCAGCACUAAAGCACCAGAUCCCAUCAGAACUUCGAAGUUAAGCAUGCUUGGGCGAGAGUAGUACUAGGAUGGGUGACCUCUUGGGAAGUCCUCGUGUUGCAUUCC
RNAcentral lists this ribosomal RNA (119 nucleotides) under Triticum aestivum (bread wheat). Lineage: Eukaryota; Viridiplantae; Streptophyta; Magnoliopsida; Poales; Poaceae. The record is from RNAcentral.